Molecule: small nucleolar RNA, 111 nt
Organism: Pristis pectinata (smalltooth sawfish)
Lineage: Eukaryota; Metazoa; Chordata; Chondrichthyes; Rhinopristiformes; Pristidae
Product: small nucleolar RNA SNORD89
Exons: 1
Source: RefSeq, a predicted model, not a curated record
CUGUAGGGAUGAUGACAGUAAAAGGCCGAAUUGCAGUGCUGCUGCCAGCAGUUGGUUCUCGGCAAGGGCACAAUGACAGGACCCCUUGAAGCGAAGCUGUCUGACCUCAAG